Molecule: small nuclear RNA, 108 nt
Organism: Callithrix jacchus (white-tufted-ear marmoset)
Lineage: Eukaryota; Metazoa; Chordata; Mammalia; Primates; Cebidae
Source: Ensembl
GAGCUUGCCUCGGCAGCACAUGUACUAAAAUUGGAGCGAUACAGAGAAGGUUAGCAUGGCUUUCCGUGCAAGGAAGACACGCAAAUUCCUGAAGUGUUCCAUAUUUUU